AGCCAAAUUGCGGGGGCGGCAAAUGGAGAGGGACACAUGAGCACUCCUACUUCCCCCAAACGACCACGAUAAAUGGAAUCGCUAGGAGUUGGUGAGGUAUGCAUUAAAUUCGUGAAAGGAACCGCUCUAUACCUCGAAAGGAACUACUACUACUAUGCUCGCCGGUUGCAGAAGAAAAGGGACGACUCUGUUCUGCAUAUAAUGCCGCUCUGAUAGAACAGGAGUCAGUUCAUCAUUUCUCGAGUUUCCUCUGAGACUUGGCAACAUGGAGGGCGCACCGUCUCCUCAGGAGAUGUCAUACUAUGAUCAUGUCAGAAGCGUCGCGAGGAAAAAGGCUGUCUAUACGCAUGUUUCUUCACGCUGUGCUGCUGCUUUUGCUGCUAUGAGAGUUGCGAAUGCUGCUUGGAGACCAUCUGCUGUUGCUGCUAGUUUAAUCGAGAAUUGUUCCUUAAUUAUGGAAAGACAAUAAUGUUUGAAGACCAUAUGUCUUCUUUGUGCAGUAGUUUGGAUAUUUUAUUAUCCAAUAAUUGUCAUGUAAAUGGGUUAAUCAAGAAUUGUUCCAUAAUUAUGGAAAGACAAUAAUGUUUGAAGACCAUAUGUCUUCUUUGUGCAGUAGUUUGGAUAUUUUAUCAUCCAAUAAUUGUCAUGUAAAUGGGUUUAUCAAAUUGAAGUAUGUGUGAUAUUCAAUGUCUGUAAUAACAUGAACGUAUUUGUUUGAUAUUCCUCCCAGAGA
This is an RNA transcript of Eucalyptus grandis, 733 nucleotides long. RefSeq lists it as uncharacterized. The record is from RefSeq and is a predicted model, not a curated record. The transcript has 2 exons. Lineage: Eukaryota; Viridiplantae; Streptophyta; Magnoliopsida; Myrtales; Myrtaceae.